UGGAGACACACAGAGAUGGCUGAUGCUGUGGUAACGUUUAUGUUAGGAAAAUUGAGUGAACUACUUGAUAAAGAAGUUCGACUAAUCUCGGGACUUGGUGCCGAUGUUGAAUGGAUCAAGCCCCAGCUUGAAAUCACGAAAGAGUUCCUCAAAGACGCUGAUAACAUAAAAGAGAGUGAUGGAGUGGUGGAUAUUUGGGUGGGGCAGGUGCGAGACUGGUCCUAUGAUGCUGAAGACAUCCUUGAUGAAUUCAUUGUCCAGAUGGGGAGUGUUGGGCUGCCUUUUCUAUGAGCCUCGUCUUGUCAAGGAAGUGAAAGUUAAACACCAAUUUGCAAGAAAUAUGCAGAAUAUUAGAUUGCGUGCUGAUAUUUUAGAGAGAAGGAACUGGCCCAUGAUUCAACGUGAUGAAGCAGCGAGCUCCUCAAAUGUCAUGGCUACAACAACUGUAAAUUCACGAUCACUUUCUUCUUUGGUUGAGGGAGCACAUAUCAUUGGAAUUGAGCGUAAAGUGGAAAGAGUAGAAGGGUGGUUGCUGCAAGGUGAGCCACAACACAAGGUAAUCUCCAUUGUUGGCGUGGGUGGUUUGGGAAAAACUACUCUUGCACAAACAAUUUAUAAUAGGCGCAGUAUUAAAGAACAUUUUCAUUGUCGUCCUUGGAUUACUGUGUCAGUCAUUCACACCGGAAAGGAUUUUAAGCACCAUCCUAGUACAAUUAAAAUGGAUGUGAGUUCUUUGCGACAAGAGCUCCGUGGGUACUUAGUAGAUAAGACUUUCCUUGUGGUGUUGGAUGAUGUAUGGAGUGAUCUGGUGUGGGCAGAAGUGUAUACUUCAUUUCCAGAUACAGGUAAUGCCAAUCGGUUCAUCAUUACGACUCGUAUUGGAGACGUGGCUACACCAUUACAUGUAAGCAGUGUAGUCUAUCCCCUUGAAUUGCUGUCGAAAUAUGAUGCUUGGUCCCUCUUUUCUGAAAAUGCAUUUUGGGAGGAAGCUCAAAAUGCAUGUCCCCUAGAACUAGUGGAUGAAGCAAGUCUCAUUGUUAAGAAAUGUGGGGGUCUACCAUUGGCGAUUGUUGCUAUUGGGGGCAUGAUGUCUAAGAAGGACAGGAAUCCACGAGUAUGGGCACAAGUUCAAUGCAGUCUAGAAUGGAAAUUGAAUAAUCAAUCCAAUUUUGAAUUGGUGAGGGGCGAUGUGGUGAGGGGUGUUUUGUUGCUGACUUACAAGGAUUUGCCGCCUCUCCUAAAGCAUUGUUGCUUAUAUUGUUGCUCAUACCCCGAGGACUAUGAGAUUUCCCAUUUGAAAUUGGUUAGGCAAUGGAUAGCUGAGGGAUUUAUAGAGAAAAGACCAAGAAUGAUAGAUGAGGAGGUAGCUGAGGAAUAGUUUAAAGACUUGCUCGAUAGGAAUUUGAUUCUUGUGACGAAAAUCGGUAAGAGUGGGCAAGUCAAAGCAUGUCGGGUGCACGAUGUAGUACGUGCACUUGGCGUUUCUUUAUUGCAAAGAGAGAAGUUUGGAGUAUUUCAUGAUGACCAAAAUCAGAAACUUGAGACAAAGACUCGGAGAGUCUCCAUGAGCAGCAGUGCUUCAUGUAUCCAUAAACCCAUGGAAAUGUCUCGUCUCCGAACGUUCCUCACUUUCGACAUAAAUAUAGAAACAGGAACAAAUUCAGUUCCUGGAUCUGUUAUGCCUGGCUUGUUGUGUAGCUCAAGAUUCAUAUGUUGUCUCAGAACAUUCCUUGUUUUCUUCACUCGUAAAGAUAUACAAACAGAAUCAGUACUUGGCCCGGUUAUACCUGGUUUGUUGUGUGGAUCAAGAUUUUUAAGGGUUUUGGACCUUCAAGGCUUGGAACUUGAGCGUUUGCCAGAAGAAGUGGGGCAACUCAUUCUUCUUAGGUACCUGGCACUACGGCGAUCGCACUCAGAUAACACGCCUCCAAACUCUACACUUGAAUUGUAGGGGAGAGGGUAAUUUGCCGAGUGGGAUAUCAAAUAUGAAGAGUUUGACAUGCUUGAAAUUGUCUUAUGGGGGCUCUAUGAGAGCUUAAAUGCUCCAGAAAGAACUGGAGGCUUGACUAACCUCCGAACUUUGAAAAAUGUAGCCAUUGAUUCAAAGUUUGCCAGAUACCUGGCCAAUUUGAUGCAGCUUCGUUCGUUGAAUAUUGAGCUAAAGACGGACGUAGAUGGGGAGGUGUUCUGCGCCUCCAUCCACAAAAUGAAAUUGUUGCGUUCCUUGGAUAUCCUCCCAAUCCCUGGGUCCUUUAGAGGGGAGGGAAUUAUUAUCGUCUCCCCAAAUGAGGACUCUUCAGAAACUACGUCUUUGGGGAAAACUAGAGAAGCUACCAAGUUGGUUUAAUUCUUCCCUCUCGUCCCUCACCGUUAUAGAAGUAACCUUUUGUUCUCUGAGGGAGGAUCCAUUUGGUAUCUUUCAAACUUUGCCCAAUCUCAUGCAUACUUGGGUGAGCGAAUAGGAGAAUGCAGCGCAGAGGGGUUUCCUAAGCUUCAAUAUCUCCUUCUGUCAAAGUUAACUGACUUGAGAGAGUGGGGUGAGGUAGAGAAGGGUGCUUUGCCCAACCUGCAUGGAGUACGCAUGUUCAUCUACAAGAAUCUGAAGGCACUGCCGGAAGGCUUCCAAUACCUGAGUUCCCUUCAGACCUUGCAACUUGAUUUCAUGUCUGAUGAGUUUGUGAAUCGGCUAAAGAAUGAAGACCAUUACAAAGUGCAACAUAUGCCUGUUGUUAGGCAUGACUACUAUGAAGUUGAAGAAGGUGAAUGGAAGGCUGAAAUCCUUUAGAGAGGUUAUGACCUUUAGAGCUUCAUUCAUUCUUGCACCCUUGUAAACCAGCAUAUUCAGAUUUCUUGUAUCUUUCUAUGAAUUGUUUCCCCCCCUGUUGUAUCCCCUUAAAAUCUCUUCAUUUGCUACUUUUGUUUGUUCGUCUCUAUUUUUGGAGAAAGGGAAUUUUCUUAAUAAAUGUUCUUGGUGGAGGUGUUUUUA
Molecule: non-coding RNA, 2986 nt
Organism: Amborella trichopoda
Lineage: Eukaryota; Viridiplantae; Streptophyta; Magnoliopsida; Amborellales; Amborellaceae
Source: RefSeq, a predicted model, not a curated record